Molecule: non-coding RNA, 167 nt
Filed under: Rattus norvegicus (Norway rat)
Lineage: Eukaryota; Metazoa; Chordata; Mammalia; Rodentia; Muridae
Rfam family: tRNA (bases 7-75)
Source: RNAcentral
GGGGUUGGGGAUUUAGCUCAGUGGUAGAGCGCUUGCCUAGCAAGCGCAAGGCCCUGGGUUCGGUCCCCAGCUCCGAAAAAAAAAAAAAAAAAAAAAAAAAAAAAGAAAUGCGGGUGGCAAUGCCUUGAGCUGGAGAAUUUGAAAGAAGGCCACGGUAAUUAUAGUUU